RNAcentral lists this ribosomal RNA (451 nucleotides) under Rhizobium subbaraonis. Its description in RNAcentral is "bacterial SSU rRNA". It matches the Rfam family "Bacterial small subunit ribosomal RNA", at positions 56 to 556 of the family's 1533-position model. Lineage: Bacteria; Pseudomonadati; Pseudomonadota; Alphaproteobacteria; Hyphomicrobiales; Rhizobiaceae. The record is from RNAcentral.
UGCAGUCGAGCGCCCCGCAAGGGGAGCGGCAGACGGGUGAGUAACGCGUGGGAAUGUACCCUUUGCUACGGGAUAGCUCCGGGAAACUGGAAUUAAUACCGUAUGUGCCCUUCGGGGGAAAGAUUUAUCGGCAAGGGAUCAGCCCGCGUUGGAUUAGCUAGUUGGUGGGGUAAAAGCCUACCAAGGCGACGAUCCAUAGCUGGUCUGAGAGGAUGAUCAGCCACAUUGGGACUGAGACACGGCCCAAACUCCUACGGGAGGCAGCAGUGGGGAAUAUUGGACAAUGGGCGCAAGCCUGAUCCAGCCAUGCCGCGUGUGUGAUGAAGGCCUUAGGGUUGUAAAGCACUUUCACCGAUGAAGAUAAUGACGGUAGUCGGAGAAGAAGCCCCGGCUAACUUCGUGCCAGCAGCCGCGGUAAUACGAAGGGGGCUAGCGUUGUUCGGAAUUACUG